GACAGAGGGUGCAAACGUUGCUCGGAAUUACUGGGCGUAAAGCGCGUGUAGGUGGGUUGGUGUGUCAGAUGUGAAAUCCCUGGGCUCAACCCAGGAACUGCACCUGAAACUACCAGUCUUGAGUGGUGGAGAGGGAAGUGGAAUUCCUGGUGUAGAGGUGAAAUUCGUAGAUAUCGGGAGGAACACCAGUGGCGAAGGCGGCUUCCUGGACACCAACUGACGCUGAGGCGCGAAAGCGUGGGUAGCAAACAGA
This 253-nucleotide ribosomal RNA is filed under the name uncultured bacterium. RNAcentral describes it as "partial 16S ribosomal RNA". It matches the Rfam family "Bacterial small subunit ribosomal RNA", at positions 524 to 776 of the family's 1533-position model. The record is from RNAcentral.